Long non-coding RNA from Felis catus (domestic cat), 3399 nucleotides. RefSeq lists it as uncharacterized. The record is from RefSeq and is a predicted model, not a curated record. The transcript is spliced from 3 exons. NCBI's taxonomy places the organism in Eukaryota, Metazoa, Chordata, Mammalia, Carnivora, Felidae.
AGGAAAUAGGAAGGAUUUUUUUGAAUUAUGUAAAUCUCACAUAUUAGAUACCUAUUCUGUAAAAUUGGAAAUUUUUUCAGUUAUCAAAUUAAUAAACAGAUUUAGAUUUUGUUCUCUAUUUGUUAAUUACAUGCUGAUAUCUGUUUGCAAGCUACCCAUCCUUGGCAUCACACAGGAUCAACACUUCCCUUUCUUUCUUCCUGAGAAAAAUGUAGGGAAAGGCUGAAUAAAUGGUAGAAAAAUGCUGUGUAUUUGUUCACUUCUCUAACUUUAGUGCUUAUUUUUUCAUUCUUCUGGAAAUGAUAGAUAAUGAUCUUUGAUAAAUGGUUAGAAAGUUUGUUUUGGUACCCUGUGCUUCAAAAGUACAUGGAAAGGUUUAGUUAAUGGAUAGUAUACUCACUGACUCAGUAUGUUUCUGUACUUUCCACACUACUGAUGUAUUUUUUGUUUUAAGUUGUAGCAACAGACUGGAACAAUAGCUUUUCUACACUGAGAUACAAACAGUGAAGGUAGAAUCAUGAUCAGGUAAUGAACUCUAUCUGUUCUGUUUUUUUCUGAAAAAAUUUGCACAUUUCAGUCCAGAAGAGAAAUGAUUCCAAAUACAAAACAUGAAGCAAAAAGGUAAAAAUUAAACAGUAUGCAACAGAGCAAUGCCUGUAUAUUCUAAUACUUUAAUAAGUUUUUUAACUAUAAUGUAAGACAUGGGACAAAAGGCAAUAAAUAUUUUAAGUAAUAGAAGUAAAAAAGAACAUUUAAAAAUAAUUUAUUCUAACCACCUUCAUUAACAAAUUACAUGCUUACAACAGAAGGGAAUUCAUACAGAGGGUGAAACAGAAGUGAAACAAGUAUGCAUUCUCUGGGGACUCAUUGGCUACCAAGGGCUCAUAUAGUUAGAGCUAGAGUACAAGACUCCUAGCCAAAGGCAAAUUGUUAUUGCAUCCAUGAGACAAAACUGCAACUGCAAUUUCUCCCCUGGGCUUAGAUACCACCACUCAUGAUGGAAAGUUCCUUGCAAGAAAAUAUUGGCUAGAGAAAAGAAAGAUCAUAAUGGAUCCUGGGGCAACACUCUGGACUUUAGCUAAGGUCCUUACUGAGAAAGAAUGAUGCUGGCCUGUGUGAACACAAUUUCAAAUUUACUAGGCUUUGAUCAGUUAUGGAAAUCUAGAUGACUGUCCCCCAAAUUAUGGAAACAGUGAUACAGAAAAGAAAAAGAGACCAACAAACUUCUCCCUCUGCUCUUCCCUAAGUUGUAUAUGAGAAACUCAUAUUUACUUGUUAAAAAAAAUUUUUUUUUUUUUCAUCCUAGCAGGAACUGAGAAGCAAAAGUAUUGAGGUGGAAAUGUUGGGGCUCAGGAACAAAUGGCCAAGGAAGAAUUCUUGAGACAACUUUGGUGCAUAAAAAGGUACUACCCAGGACCACAACGGCUAUCAUCUGAUUGACCUGAAGAGUCUGGGGGAAUACACUGUGGAAAAAGCACUUCCAGAAUGGAAGACUGAGGACUUCCGAAAAUCCUCUCCGUAAAUGUAAUGAGAACAAAAGCAAAUAUUGCCAAAAUCAACUUCCAGAACUCUGGAAACUGCCCAAAGAUUUAUAACAAUCUGAAAAGAGUUUAUUCAAGACAAAAAGUAUACAUUAUGUUAAGAACAGUGAGAUUUGGAAUAUUUUAACUUUCCCUAUUCCUGUUUCCUUUUCCCUAGCUCCGUAAUAACUGUAAAAUCCUACAGCAAUUCCAUUAUUACCACAGUAAUACAGUAAGACUUUGAAAACUAGCCUUGUAGUAAUUAGUCCCUUGAGGGAUUUGGAGCCCCCUCUCCCCUGCCAAAAGCCCUAUCUUCAGAUAAUUGUUACUAUAUGACCUAUCUGGCAGACUGUAGAAAGGCCCAUUCUCUAAGACUGUUUUUAUUUGUUCUGACUCAGAGCUCUCUCUGAAAGAGAGAGAAUUGCUCUAAAACAAUUAAUGACAAUUGUUUAAUAUUGUAGCUACCUAAGGCCAGGGCUAACAAAAAGCUGAUUAAAAACAAACAAACACUGGAGGGUUAUAUACUCAGUGGGGAUUUGCAAACAUCCUAUAUAUUUCUGGGACAUAAAAAGGCCACACAUAUGUUCAGGGCUUUGUACAUGCCCAGGAAAUACCCUAAUGUCUCACAUCUGUAUUACUUGAGUCUCCGCAUAACCAGAAGGCUAAGGCUAAGACAGAGUUGUAAACUGUCUGGGGGAGCAUUGGAGGCAUGCCUCAAAACAUACAGAAAACAUUGUCCAAAAUAUAUUGUCUACAUGAGUUAUACUUAAGACUUAAAAGCACAAACAGGGGAGGAGUUAAGAUGGCACAGGGGUAGGGGGACCCUAAGCUUGUCUCAUCCUGCAAACACAGCUAGAUAGUUAUCAAAUCAUUCUGAACACCCAAGAAAUCAAUUGGAAGUCUUAGAGAACAAAAACUUCAAAUCAACGAGUAGAAAAGUGACCUCCUUUUGGAAGGUAGGAAGUGUGGAGAGUUGACUUGGAGGAGACAUAACUGUGGAUAUUGUGGCAGGGAGGGGGCCCUGCUUAAGAGGCUACCAUAAAGUAUUAUCAGCAAUGGAGCACAAAAUCUGAACUUUUAGAAGUCCACUACCAUGGGGAACAUGCCUGGCUUAAAGGUCCUCAGGUGGCAAAGUAGGGUGGAGUCCCAUGAGUGACAGCUGGCCUGAAGAUCCUCUGGGUCACAAGAAGAAUGGGUGCUGCCAAUGUGCUGCACUGUUCCCAGGCAUAGAAGUGGGGACUCCAGCAGAGGGGAGUGAGACAGGGUGCUGGUUCUCUGUUGCUUUGCCAUAAACUCCAAACCACUGCGUGGUGAUGUAACCACAUUCCUACCAUGAGCCAGCAAAUGGCAAAAACGCUGUAAGACUCUACCCCAGAGGAACAGCACCAGUCGGUGCUGUGGGAGUCCCUAAAAUUUGGAGUUUUGAAAACUCAGUCUUGUGCCUGAAAUUAAAAAAAAAAAAAAAUUCAGAUAUCGGCAGGGUGAAUGCCAGGUUGUGAUGGAAACAGAGACACAAGAGGGGUAAUUGAUCUUGCGUGAGGAUUUUCCCAAAGAGUGAGGGGCACAAAAUUUCAGCUCUGGGGCUGGGGACUGGGGUGCAACCAUAUCCAUCUCACCAUCAGCCUUCAGAGAAUAAAACAGCACCACCUAGUGCAGGCUGGAGAUGCUUACCCUAAGCUCCACCCUCUGUGCCCUGGAGGCACAUUUCUACCAGGGCAAGUCCACCUGAGAAUAAGCUCAAUAGGUCCACCACCAGAAGACCAGCACAAACAACCCCCUCCACGUCUACUGAUCAUGGCGGGCUACAAAGCUUCAGGUCUAGGGAAAUUAGUAUCUAGCUUCCAUUUUACUAUUAUUUUUUGUUUUUCUUAUUAUUUAC